GAAUUGAUUUAUGUUUGGAUACAC
RNAcentral lists this microRNA (24 nucleotides) under Medicago truncatula (barrel medic). RNAcentral describes it as "mtr-miR5272c". The record is from miRBase by way of RNAcentral. Lineage: Eukaryota; Viridiplantae; Streptophyta; Magnoliopsida; Fabales; Fabaceae.